RNAcentral lists this ribosomal RNA (250 nucleotides) under Campylobacter coli. Its description in RNAcentral is "partial 23S ribosomal RNA". It matches the Rfam family "Bacterial large subunit ribosomal RNA", at positions 1 to 262 of the family's 2925-position model. The record is from RNAcentral. Lineage: Bacteria; Pseudomonadati; Campylobacterota; Epsilonproteobacteria; Campylobacterales; Campylobacteraceae.
AAAAAAGGUAAGCUACUAAGAGCGAAUGGUGGAUGCCUUGACUGGUAAAGGCGAUGAAGGACGUACUAGACUGCGAUAAGCUACGGGGAGCUGUCAAGAAGCUUUGAUCCGUAGAUUUCCGAAUGGGGCAACCCAAUGUAUAGAGAUAUACAUUACCUAUAUAGGAGCGAACGAGGGGAAUUGAAACAUCUUAGUACCCUCAGGAAAAGAAAUCAAUAGAGAUUGCGUCAGUAGCGGCGAGCGAAAGCGC